This 53-nucleotide ribosomal RNA is filed under the name Fonsecaea monophora. RNAcentral's name for it is "partial 28S ribosomal RNA". The record is from RNAcentral. Lineage: Eukaryota; Fungi; Ascomycota; Eurotiomycetes; Chaetothyriales; Herpotrichiellaceae.
CUCACGGGAACACUUUUUUCUAAGGUGACCUCGGAUCAGUAGAAUCGAGUCCU